Molecule: long non-coding RNA, 2578 nt
Organism: Hirundo rustica (Barn swallow)
Lineage: Eukaryota; Metazoa; Chordata; Aves; Passeriformes; Hirundinidae
Exons: 4
Source: RefSeq, a predicted model, not a curated record
GAGGUAGGCACUGGUGGUUAAUGAAGUGUGCUCCAGUAAGGAGGAAUGUGUGUCAGGCCAGAAGCCCCGAGGAGGCGCUGACACAUUUUCCUCUGGAGAAGCAGGAGCUAGAGUCCAAGACCUGAGGAUUCAGUAAUUGAGUGUGUUUGAGCCCGCCUGGGGAGCUCUCCACAAAUACAGUUGUCCACCUGAGUCGCUGAGGAGGAUUAAAAAUAGCCCAGCAAGAUGUUGGCUUAUCCCUGAGAGAACAGAAUUAGUUGUCUGGAAAGACAGAGCGUAUUAGAGGAGGAUGAAAGGAGGGUAAUAACCAACCAGGGAAACAAGGGAUCCCUCUGAGCAGCCUGGCUGCACCACGGAGAGAGAUCAAUCUGUGGAAAUCCCAGCUGAAGCAUGGAAGAGAGGAUCUAAAUUUAGCUGCAGCCUGCCUGGGGCUCCUGAGUUUUGUGGCUGCUGGGGUAGUUGCUCAGAAGUUGAGCCUGCAUCCAAAGGCUGCAGGCAAUGCAGGAGAGCAACACACUCUGUUGUACUUCCAUGUACCUCUCUUGAGUCUUUGGGAUCGUGAAUUCAUUUGGUGGCUGUUAAAGAAAGAAAAAGCAGUAGUACAUACAAGGGAAGAGCAAGAGUUUGUGCCUCACAGAGGUUGCAGUCUGCACAGCGACGUCAAACAAGGGCCUGGAGGAACAAAGCUCUUCUUAUCCUCCCUUCACAGCUGGGUAACUGAAUUCUGUGAGAUGAAGCGAUUUGCCUGUGGUUGUGUGGGAAGUGGGGAGGCCAGGAAUGGAUCUGGGAUCUCAGGGGAUCCAAGUUCACAACCAGUUUCUUUCUGUAGCUCCAGACAAACCCCAUGAUUUCUCAGUGACCUGCUGUUUUGCCCUUGGCGUUCCCCAGCAGAAGAAUCAGCAGGUUGGCAUCUCUGCUGGAAACAAAUCAGUACAGCUCCUGCUUGGGACUGAGAAUGUGGAGUCUUUUCAAGAAAAAAACCAAAUCCUUGCUUCCUUUAGACACUGCUUGUUACCUUUUCUCAAGAGACAAUUUGUAGAUGCUACACUUAGGCCUGGAAGCAAACUAGAAACCUUGCUAAGGCUCCAAACUGCAAAUUACAGCAGAACACAUUGCUGGGGCUGAUAAAAGCUGCCAAGGACUCACGGGUUUGGAAAAGCCAGCAGCACUUGAAAAUUGAAUUCUUGAGCAGGAGAAUCUGCAGAGCUGUGACCAGAGGGAAAUUGCUGCUGCUUGCUGCAACCUGAAUUUGGUGGAAUCAACUCCACAUCAGCACUAGGACAGAACUCCUGCACAUUUUGUACCAAACUCCUGCGUGUUUUGCUCAGCACCCAAUCCACUGGAAGUAGGAGUGCCUGACUUCAGGUGAGGAGGGAACAGCAGGAACAGAUGGAUUCCUCAGUACCAGAGCCUGGUUUCCAUGCCAAUGGAGCCGGAUGAUGACAGAAAACGAGGAGUCAGACUCUGCUGACAAAGGCCUGAGCCCCUGAAGAAAGCAGAGAGAAGUCCCUACCAGCCCGGGUGGAAUGCGAAUGUGCCGCUGUUAUCCGCACGUUGCGCUCAGCUCGCCUGCCCCGAAAGGAGGAGGAGGAAGGCACCACAAUUUGCAUAUAAAUGAGGUCAGACCGGGUUCCUCUGCAGUCAUUAAGGCGGGUUUCUUACCCUGCUUGUUCUGCUCUCCCCACCUCCACCCCGCAGCUCCUGCCAGCCCAGUCUGCCCGCGGAUAGAAGCUCCAAGGCGCAGAGUCCUGCCCUGCCUCCCCUCUUGGGCUCUCAGGAGGGAUGGGGAGAGGCCCUGGAGCUUCUGCUUCCACUCUGGAGCUCAGCCGCACCCGGGGGAUGCCUGUGGUGCUGAAGUGAUGCUUCACCAGGAGGGCUUGCAGAGAGGGACGCUGAGGCACAGAGUGAAGGAGGAGGUGCUGGGUUGGAGGAGCAGAGCAGGGCUGGGGUUCACAGAAGCUGCUCCUCGCUUUCAUUGUGGAGAAUUCCCUUUCCUGAGCUCCAGCUGGAGGCCAGGCAACCGCUGAGGCUCAAUCAAACACCCCCUUUCUUCACUUGGGCCGCAGUAGAUCUGUACCAGCUCUAUGAAUUUUGAAAUUACUCAGACUUCCCAUGAAUUAAACCCGACCUAGUGUGAGGUGCAGGAUAAAACGCUGCUGAGUGGAGGAUUUAUAUCAUUUUACCCUCUGGAGGGGGCCCAGGAGUCAGCUGGAUCAGCUGGGAACAAGUCUGCUAAAAGGGAGUUAAAAGACUUUGAGUGGUUUUCUGUCUUGCUUUCUCUUUGGAACAAUCCCUGGAAAUAUCCAAAUGCUCUAUUAACAGCAUUUCAGAGUGCUUAGCGCUCCGAAAUUACUGGUGACUCUGCUUUGCUCUGACAAAUGAAGUGGGAGUGUGGGUCCUCCCCUCCUGAAUUAUUCACACCAAAAGGUAGUUUGAAGCCAAACCUCAAAGUUCCUAGAUUUGUUUUGAUUUUUUACAAAACGCCUCCAAUCAGCAGGCUUCUCUUAAGACAUGGAAUUUUCAUGAAAAUCAAAUUGCUUUGUUUAGAAAGAGUAGUAUUUUCUGUCAGCAAAGGUGU